AAAUAUUCCCAACGAUCCUCUCUUAGGAGUCACAACGUUCGGGUUGACAUUUCUACUAGAGGGGUUUUAGUCGGUAGGCGCUUCGGCGAAUCCGACACUACCCCCCUUCAGGGGGUGUCUUUUGAAGAUUUCUCCUCCUCGGGGAUA
Molecule: non-coding RNA, 147 nt
Organism: Agrilus planipennis (emerald ash borer)
Lineage: Eukaryota; Metazoa; Arthropoda; Insecta; Coleoptera; Buprestidae
Source: Rfam